Molecule: ribosomal RNA, 227 nt
Filed under: Streptococcus humanilactis
Lineage: Bacteria; Bacillati; Bacillota; Bacilli; Lactobacillales; Streptococcaceae
Description: partial 16S ribosomal RNA
Rfam family: Bacterial small subunit ribosomal RNA
Source: RNAcentral
UCCUACGGGAGGCAGCAGUAGGGAAUCUUCGGCAAUGGACGGAAGUCUGACCGAGCAACGCCGCGUGAGUGAAGAAGGUUUUCGGAUCGUAAAGCUCUGUUGUAAGAGAAGAACGAGUGUGAGAGUGGAAAGUUCACACUGUGACGGUAUCUUACCAGAAAGGGACGGCUAACUACGUGCCAGCAGCCGCGGUAAUACGUAGGUCCCGAGCGUUGUCCGGAUUUAUU